GGGAUCGCAAGACCUUGCGCUGAUUGAGCGGCCGAUAUCAGAUUAGCUAGUUGGUGAGGUAAAGGCUCACCAAGGCGACGAUCUGUAGCGGGUCUGAGAGGAUGAUCCGCCACACUGGAACUGAGACACGGUCCAGACUCCUACGGGAGGCAGCAGUGGGGAAUUUUGGACAAUGGGGCAACCCUGAUCCAGCCAUGCCGCCGUGAGUGAAAGAAGGCCUUCGGGUUGUAAAGCUCUUUCGGCCGGGAAGAAAUCGCAUGGGCUAAUACCCUGUGCGGAUGACGGUACCGGCAUAAGAAGCACCGGCUAACUACGUG
This 317-nucleotide ribosomal RNA is filed under the name uncultured bacterium. RNAcentral describes it as "bacterial SSU rRNA". It matches the Rfam family "Bacterial small subunit ribosomal RNA", at positions 200 to 507 of the family's 1533-position model. The record is from RNAcentral.